CAAUUCCCGCCAGAUUCAGGCGCUCAUAUUGAGCAUAAAAGGGAACCCCGUGUAAUUCGGGGACGGGCCCGCCGCUGUAAUCGGGGACGAAAGCCGCGUAAUGCCACUGCCUGUUCUUUAACAGGUGGGAAGGUGCGGCAAGUAGGGGCAGACCUUGCGUCUGCACAUCCGAAAGUCAGAAGACCUGCCUGAAGGUGUUGUGUAUUC
RNAcentral lists this non-coding RNA (207 nucleotides) under uncultured Desulfobacterium sp. The record is from RNAcentral. Lineage: Bacteria; Pseudomonadati; Thermodesulfobacteriota; Desulfobacteria; Desulfobacterales; Desulfobacteriaceae.